CCGAGUUGGUGGCCACGUGGAGGAGCUGGGAGAGUGGCACCCCUGGAGAGGAUGUGGAAGCUCCGUUGCCUCCACCAUCUUUUCCGCCUGCUGUUCCUGAGUUUUACAUAGUGUCCUCAGCUGAAGAAAGAGGAAGUCUGGAGUCCAUUUCCGGCAGUUAGCAGGGAGCUGUUUUCCUCUCUCUGACAUUAGCAAGGCUUUUAUUCCAUACCUUUGGGGACAGCGGCAGUCAACACCAACUUGUGGCAUGGGAUGGAUUUCUACCAAAAGCCUCUGUGAAUGUGCUCUGAGAAGUUUCUACAGAGUCUGACAGGGCCUCACUCUUUCGCCCAGCUUGAGGUGUAGUGGCACAAUCUGAGCUCACUGGAAUCUCAAACUCUUGGGCUCUUGAGUUUGAAAUAUAGCAAAGAAAGGCUGGGUGUGGUGGCUCAUGCCUUUAAUCCCAGCACUUUGGGAGGCCGAGCGGGAGGAUCACGAGAUCGGGAGAUCAAGACCAUCCUGGCUAACAUGGUGAAACUCCAUCUCUACUAAAAAUACAAAAAAUUAGCCGGGCGUGGUGGCGGGUGCCUGUAGUCCCAGCUACUCGGGAGGCCGAGGCAGGAGAAUGGCGUGAACCCAGAAGGUGGAGCUUGCAGUGAGCCAAGAUCACACCACUGCACUCCAGCCUGGGUGACAGAGUGAGACUCCAUCUCACAAAAAAAGAAAAGAAAAGAAAAGAAAUAUAGCAAAGAAAAAUGCCAGUGCUCCUGCCUAUGGAGUCACCAACUCUUCAUAAAUCCAUUCCAAAUAGAUCAUCAACGACGCUUGUAACAGAGACGUUUUCAACACCGUGGCAUGUUCCUGAAGAAUCAAAGUUGGCCAGAGAGACUAAACAAGGAUAACGCAGACCCUUUUAUGAAGCUGUUUUUCUAUUUUUAAAAUGCAGUUCAAAAGAUAUUGGAAAACUUUC
Molecule: long non-coding RNA, 949 nt
Organism: Gorilla gorilla gorilla (western lowland gorilla)
Lineage: Eukaryota; Metazoa; Chordata; Mammalia; Primates; Hominidae
Exons: 3
Source: RefSeq, a predicted model, not a curated record